RNAcentral lists this ribosomal RNA (428 nucleotides) under uncultured bacterium. RNAcentral's name for it is "partial 16S ribosomal RNA". It matches the Rfam family "Bacterial small subunit ribosomal RNA", at positions 354 to 796 of the family's 1533-position model. The record is from RNAcentral.
GUGGGGAAUAUUGGGCAAUGGGCGAAAGCCUGACCCAGCAACGCCGCGUGAAUGAAGAAGGCCUUCGGGUUGUAAAGUUCUGUCCUAUGGGACGAAAAAAAUGACGGUACCAUAGGAGGAAGCCCCGGCUAACUACGUGCCAGCAGCCGCGGUAAUACGUAGGGGGCGAGCGUUGUCCGGAAUUACUGGGCGUAAAGGGUGCGCAGGCGGCGCUUUAAGUCAGAUGUGAAAUACCCGGGCUUAACUCGGGGGGUGCAUUUGAAACUGGAGUGCUUGAGUGCAGGAGAGGAAAGUGGAAUUCCUAGUGUAGCGGUGAAAUGCGUAGAUAUUAGGAGGAACACCAGUGGCGAAGGCGACUUUCUGGACUGUAACUGACGCUGAGGCACGAAAGCGUGGGGAGCAAACAGGAUUAGAUACCCGAGUAGUCC